AUUGAACGCUGGCGGCAUGCCUUACACAUGCAAGUCGAACGCCAAAGACGCGGGGGCGAACUCUGCGCAAGUAGCGUGGCGCACGGGUGAGUAACACAUCGGAACGUAUCCUCUAGUGGGGGACGAACCAGUCGAAAGAUUGGCUAAUACCGCAUACGCUGGAGACAGGAAAGCGGGGGACGUCACCGCAAGGUGGGCCUCGCGCUAGUGGCGCGGCCGAUGCCGAUUAGCUAGUUGGCGGGGUAAGAGCCCACCAAGGCGACGAUCGGUAGCGGGUCUGAGAGGAUGAUCCGCCACACUGGGACUGAGACACGGCCCAGACUCCUACGGGAGGCAGCAGUGGGGAAUUUUUGGACAAUGGGGCAACCCUGAUCCAGCCAUGCCGCGUGAGUGAAGAAGGCCU
RNAcentral lists this ribosomal RNA (403 nucleotides) under uncultured bacterium. RNAcentral describes it as "bacterial SSU rRNA". It matches the Rfam family "Bacterial small subunit ribosomal RNA", at positions 29 to 417 of the family's 1533-position model. The record is from RNAcentral.